AGUUUCAUUAGGCUCUGAAGCCAUUACAAAGGUUCACUGAGGAAAAUCCAGAAAGCUACACAACACUAAAGGGGUGAAAUAAAAGUCCAGCGAUCCAGUGAAAGAAAAGAGAAGUGACAGAAACAACCUUACCUGGACUGAAGAGAAAAGCACAGACAAGAGAACAAUGCCCUGGACAUUGGCUCCAGAGAUCCACAUGACAGGCCCAAUGUGCCUCAUUGAGAACACUAACGGGGAACUGGUGGUGAAUCCAGAAGCUCUGAAGAUCCUGUCUGCCAUUACACAGCCUGUGGUGGUGGUGGCAAUUGUGGGCCUCUACCGCACAGGAAAAUCCUACCUGAUGAACAAGCUGGCUGGGAAGAAUAAGGGCUGGAGUACAGUGGCAAGAUCUCAUCUCACCACAGUCUUGACUUCCUGGGCUCAAGCAGUCCUCUCACCGAAGCCUCCUGAGCUUCUCUCUGGGUUCCACAGUGAAAUCUCACACCAAAGGAAUCUGGAUGUGGUGUGUGCCUCACCCCAAGAAGCCAGAACACACCUUAGUCCUG
RNAcentral lists this small RNA (545 nucleotides) under Pongo abelii (Sumatran orangutan). RNAcentral's name for it is "processed transcript". The record is from RNAcentral. Lineage: Eukaryota; Metazoa; Chordata; Mammalia; Primates; Hominidae.